Ictalurus punctatus (channel catfish) is the source of this 628-nucleotide long non-coding RNA. NCBI's taxonomy places the organism in Eukaryota, Metazoa, Chordata, Actinopteri, Siluriformes, Ictaluridae. The record is from Ensembl.
GGAGGAUGGAAUUAUAUGACCCAGUGAAGUCAGAUACCUGCCAGAGCUAAUCCCUUGAUACAACGUUGACGCACCAGAGGACUGAGCCUGAGAUGUAGACGCAGACUGGCCUGUCUGAACCAGUGUUGUGGUGCCAGGCUGGUAUGAUGACUGGGUCUGGGCUCCAGAUGUCUGGUUUGCAGUCACCACAGACUGGGUUGAGUAUGGAAAGCCAUGACCCAGAGAAGUCACAUUCCUCCUAAUUCCUUGAUACAAUGUUGAUGCACCAGAGGACUGAGCCUGAGAUGUAGGAGCAGACUGGGCUGUCUGAAGCAGUGUUGUAGUGCCAGGCUGGUAUGAUGACUGGGUCUGGGAUCCAGAUGUCUGGUUUGUAGUGACCACAGACUGGGAGGAGGAAGGAAUUAUAUGACCCAGUGACGUCAGAUACCUGCCAGAGCUAAUCCCUUGAUACAACGUUGAUGCGCCAGAGGACUGAGCCUGAGAUGUAGACGCAGACUGGCCUGUCUGAAGCAGUGUUGUAGUGCCAGCCUGGUAUGAUGACUGGAUGUGGAACCCAGGUAUUUCGGAAAGGGUUGCUGUCAAUGGACGCUGUGCAAUAUUGUACACGCCAGAGGUUUGACUUGGAUAU